AGGUGAUCUAUGAAAUGAGCAAGGGUUUCGAAAAUGAGCAGAAAGAGGCGAUUACCAAACUUAAAAUCGAGCAUCUGCGCACACAGUGUGCAAAGUUAACUGAUAAUGACAUAUCACAUUUUCAGAAGCAUCUCCAAGUCCUACAGCCUGGGUCAUCUCUAUCACCAACACAUACAACCUGGGUAGCAGUAUUCUAAUGGACUACCUUCUUCAGAGUGCAGACGAG
Molecule: long non-coding RNA, 226 nt
Organism: Triticum dicoccoides
Lineage: Eukaryota; Viridiplantae; Streptophyta; Magnoliopsida; Poales; Poaceae
Exons: 3
Source: RefSeq, a predicted model, not a curated record